UGCUGCUUUCAUUUUCUUCAAGGCCUUAAUUCUCUCAAUCCGUACACGUUUCAUCAUUGCGAGUUCAGCGAUCUCUUUAAUAAGCUUCUGAUCAGCAGCAUCCAAAGAUAUUCCUCUUGGAGGUCUAGGAGGCUUUUUAGCACUACCGGAUUUACGCUUAUCUUUCACAUUUUUCUUCUCUACGCCAUUUUCAGCCACUAAUCCCUUAACCUUAUGGUCUACCAGCACCUUUACAUUCUCCGGAGAAAGCUCAUCGUCAUCCUUUACAUCGCUAAUCAUACAAAACCCAUUUUCAGGUCUAAUAAGUUGUUCUUCAUCACAGAUAUUGUUGAAAAAUCUAUUUCCUACUUUAUCAAUGGAAUUAGUAUGAGUAGUUGCUACUUCUUCAAUGGUGUUGUUGCACAUCUCAACAUCAAUCACAAAAUCACAGGGUGUAUGAUCCAUGAGAACUCCACUCUGCAAUCUGCCCCGGAUACUGAUCUUUAGAGGCAGAUCCGAAGAGUGAUAUUGGAGAUGUGAAUCAAGAGGAGUG
Molecule: unclassified non-coding RNA, 532 nt
Filed under: Hevea brasiliensis (rubber tree)
Lineage: Eukaryota; Viridiplantae; Streptophyta; Magnoliopsida; Malpighiales; Euphorbiaceae
Source: RNAcentral